GACGAACGCUGGCGGCGUGCCUAAUACAUGCAAGUCGAACGCUUCUUUCCUCCCGAGUGCUUGCACUCAAUUGGAAAGAGGAGUGGCGGACGGGUGAGUAACACGUGGGUAACCUACCCAUCAGAGGGGGAUAACACUUGGAAACAGGUGCUAAUACCGCAUAACAGUUUAUGCCGCAUGGCAUAAGAGUGAAAGGCGCUUUCGGGUGUCGCUGAUGGAUGGACCCGCGGUGCAUUAGCUAGUUGGUGAGGUAACGGCUCACCAAGGCCACGAUGCAUAGCCGACCUGAGAGGGUGAUCGGACACACUGUGACUGAGACACGGCCCAGACUCCUACGGGAGGCAGCAGUAGGGAAUCUGCGGCAAUGGACGAAAGUCUGACCGAGCAACGCCGCGUGAGUGAAGAAGGUGUUCGGAUCGUAAAACUCUGUUGUUAGAGAAGAACAAGGACGUUAGUAACUGAACGUCCCCUGACGGUAUCUAACCAGAAAGCCACGGCUAACUACGUG
Molecule: ribosomal RNA, 508 nt
Filed under: uncultured bacterium
Lineage: Bacteria
Description: partial 16S ribosomal RNA
Rfam family: Bacterial small subunit ribosomal RNA
Source: RNAcentral